Molecule: long non-coding RNA, 997 nt
Filed under: Chrysolophus pictus (golden pheasant)
Lineage: Eukaryota; Metazoa; Chordata; Aves; Galliformes; Phasianidae
Description: lncRNA (ENSCPIG00010008111.1)
Source: RNAcentral
GUAAUUCAUGUUCUUCCUUCCCACACUUGAUAAUUUGCUGCUGUAUUUUCCCCCUGUGCUGUGGAUUAAGUCAUGUUUCCUCCAUAACAUUUUACGAAUGCCCUACCAUAUUUUGGGAUGUACCUGUAGCUAUCAAGACAGAGUAAUCUGAACCUAAGUGAACCUAAGUUUUUGCUAAACAACCUGUGUGAUGAGGAAUCUAGAGACACUGAUGUUUUUUCACGUGCAAUAUAAUAACUUUCUUGCUUCUCUCAGUGUUAGUAAUCUCUUAGGAAUGUCUGUAGAAUAACAUCUAGUCCUUUCCCACUUGCUCAUUUGGUUUCCUUAUCCCCACAGCCAGGUGUGUAAGAAUAGAAACUCCCCUCCUUCACAAGUAGCAGAAUGAAAGAAGUUCACAAAUUUUCUAAAUUCAGUUAUUUCAUGCAGAUGGUCUUCCCGGUUUUUGCACAGAAGAAGAUGAGACGAAUACGCUGAUGGAGAAGGCUGAAGGAGAAAGAUGCUAAGUAAAUGAUACUUCUGAAAACCAAACCAGACUCUGGAGAAAGACAAGAAUGAAACUGGAGAAAACAACUGGAAGUUUGUUUUGGGGAGGAAUCUGUCAAUCAGUAUGACAUCCAAACAAAGAAGAGUUACUACAUGGAAGAUAAGCGGAGAAAAGCAGACUACCAGUGUUCUGAUAUGCAUCUAUACAAUGAAGUGGAUGUAUUCUGAAGUCUGUGAAACUGAACACACCAAUAAGUGCAGAAGUCCUGCUUUUGGAAGAAAACAUUAACUGUGCAAUACAGAAAUGCCCAAAAGUGUGGUGAAUUGAGAAGAAUUGUUGCCACAAUCCUUAAAGGAAAUGGAGAGCGGAGAGAGGAUUCUCUAAUAUUUCUCUUAAAAGCUGCAGCAAAACAUUGUUUGAAUUCAGCAAGUGCAACAGCAGACCUGCAAACAGUACCUGGAUGGUUUACUUUUUUUCACUUCUGGGUAAUAAAUCUUCUGCUUCCCUUUUACA